GCAUGGUUGGUUUAGUGGCAUAAUUACCGCCUGCCAAUUGCAGGAGACCGCGGUAGACCCGGGUUCGAUUCCCGGACCAUGCA
Non-coding RNA from Blyttiomyces helicus, 83 nucleotides. Lineage: Eukaryota; Fungi; Chytridiomycota; Chytridiomycetes. The record is from the annotation of a GenBank genome assembly.